This 217-nucleotide unclassified non-coding RNA is filed under the name soil metagenome. Its description in RNAcentral is "partial contains 5.8S ribosomal RNA, internal transcribed spacer 2, and large subunit ribosomal RNA". The record is from RNAcentral.
AACCAUUCUCACCUGCGGCUAGACCUGCGGAAGGAUCAUUACCGAGUUUACAACUCCCAAACCCAUGUGAACAUACCUAUCGUUGCUUCGGCGGGAUCGCCCCGGGCGCCUCGUGUGCCCCGGAUCCGGCGCCCGCCUAGGAACCUUAACUCUUGUUUUAUUUUGGAAUCUUCUGAGUAGUUUUUACAAAUAAAUAAAAACUUUCAGCAACGGAUCU